This 253-nucleotide ribosomal RNA is filed under the name uncultured Eubacteriales bacterium. RNAcentral describes it as "uncultured Clostridiales bacterium partial 16S ribosomal RNA". It matches the Rfam family "Bacterial small subunit ribosomal RNA", at positions 524 to 776 of the family's 1533-position model. The record is from RNAcentral. Lineage: Bacteria; Bacillati; Bacillota; Clostridia; Eubacteriales.
UACGGGGGGUGCAAGCGUUGUCCGGAAUGAUUGGGCGUAAAGGGAGCGUAGGCGGCUUAGUAAGUCAGAAGUGAAAGCCCGCAGCUCAACUGCGGGACUGCUUUUGAAACUGCCAAGCUAGAGUGUCGGAGAGGUAAGUGGAAUUCCUAGUGUAGCGGUGAAAUGCGUAGAUAUUAGGAGGAACACCAGUGGCGAAGGCGGCUUACUGGACGAUGACUGACGCUGAGGCUCGAAAGCGUGGGGAGCAAACAGG